This 253-nucleotide ribosomal RNA is filed under the name uncultured bacterium. RNAcentral describes it as "partial 16S ribosomal RNA". It matches the Rfam family "Bacterial small subunit ribosomal RNA", at positions 524 to 776 of the family's 1533-position model. The record is from RNAcentral.
CACGUAGGGGGCAAGCGUUGUCCGGAUUUACUGGGCGUAAAGGGCGCGUAGGCGGUCUCUUAAGUAUGGGGUGAAAUCUCUGGGCUCAACCUGGAAAUUGCCUUGUAGACUGGGAGACUAGAGGGAGGUAGAGGUGAGUAGAAUUCCCGGUGUAGCGGUGACAUGCACAGAUAUCGGGAGGAAUACCAAUGGCGAAGGCAGCUCACUGGACCGUUCCUGACGCUAAGGCGCGAAAGCGUGGGUAGCAAACAGG